GGGGAAUAUUGGACAAUGGGGGGAACCCUGAUCCAGCGACGCCGCGUGAGUGAAGAAGUAUUUCGGUAUGUAAAGCCCUAUCAGCAGGGAAGAAGAAAGACGGUACCUGACUAAGAAGCCCCGGCUAACUACGUGCCAGCAGCCGCGGUAAUACGUAGGGGGCAAGCGUUAUCCGGAUUUACUGGGUGUAAAGGGAGCGUAGACGGUAGUGCAAGUCUGAAGUGAAAGGCGGGGGCCCAACCCCCGGACUGCUUUGGAAACUGUGCAGCUGGAGUGCAGGAGAGGUAAGUGGAAUUCCUAGUGUAGCGGUGAAAUGCGUAGAUAUUAGGAGGAACACCAGUGGCGAAGGCGGCUUACUGGACUGUAACUGACGUUGAGGAACGAAAGCCAGGGUAGCAAAUGGG
This 404-nucleotide ribosomal RNA is filed under the name uncultured bacterium. RNAcentral describes it as "bacterial SSU rRNA". It matches the Rfam family "Bacterial small subunit ribosomal RNA", at positions 356 to 776 of the family's 1533-position model. The record is from RNAcentral.